RNAcentral lists this long non-coding RNA (1116 nucleotides) under Macaca fascicularis (crab-eating macaque). Its description in RNAcentral is "lncRNA (ENSMFAG00000053907.1)". The record is from RNAcentral. Lineage: Eukaryota; Metazoa; Chordata; Mammalia; Primates; Cercopithecidae.
AGAUUCACUUCACUUUUAUUAUGAACAAACACAAUCUCAGAUUAGUACAAUUAGCUUCAGAGUUGAUAUUAAUAGAAAUUAUUCCAAAAUUAUUCUUGUCACAAGUAACUACUAUCCCACAUAAAAAGGGAAAAAUCCCACCCAAUCAAAGAAAAAGUAUCCUCUGUAUGUUUCCAUGGCAAUGAGUUGUUUAUGUAUUCUCAAAUUUUUUCUGGCUAGUUAUCCACCACUUCUCCAAUGGAGUCAUUCAAUCUCUUGGAGAACCAUAUAGACUAAUGACAGCAUCUGGGGCACAUGGACAUAUCAAGUUCAUGGUGGACAUUGCUAUUAUAAAAACCACUCAGGUCUUGAGAAUUCCUGUGCCGAAGGAUCCCAAAAUGCUUUAUAAAAAGCAUUAGUUAUGCCUCAAAACUGCCCUUUGAGGUAGGUCAGUAUUAUUAUCCCCAUUUUAGCAGAAGGAAAACUGAGGCACAUUAUAGUUCAGUGACUUGCCCAGGGUCACAUAGCAAGUCAGUGGCACAGUGGUAGGAAAGGCCCUGGCCUUAACCACCAGCAAACAGGACCACCUUGCUUUUUUAACCUUUCAUGAUGACCCAUUUGAACUACGCUUACAGAGAAUACACUUAAGAUACUAGCAAACCAAGGAGAAAAUUUUCCAUUUUAAAUGCUACAACCAUCUUUUAACCUAAAACAAAAACAAAAAAUAAAAUAAAAUUAUAAAUCAAAUACAUUCAAAUUACUUCCACCCUCCAUCAAACGUGGGCACUUAAGAAAAGCAGCCCUAACAAGUUUCCAGAAUGAAGCCCAGAAGGGAAUCCUGCAAAUCGCAAUACUGAUAAUCCUCCACUCAGGCCCCCUUUUCUACCAGUCACUUCAGUAGGCUCUCAGGUGCAAAGGGAUUCCACAGAGGGAGUGAGGGCGGGCUCAUAUGCAACACUGUGAUUAGAAAAGAUGUAAGGCACCCGGGUUAAGUUGUCAGCACACCCCCAAAGCAAGGACUGUUAGAAAUCCAGACUCUUGAUCAGAUCUGAGUUUAUCAUUAAUGUGUCACUUGAAUUGAGCUUUAGAAUCUUGAAAAUAGUGUUCCUUACUCAGCAGACACACCCCCACCCCCAC